RNAcentral lists this ribosomal RNA (172 nucleotides) under Pyrenochaeta sp. MUT 5216. RNAcentral's name for it is "5.8S ribosomal RNA". The stretch from base 17 to 170 matches the Rfam family "5.8S ribosomal RNA". Rfam says of the family: 5.8S ribosomal RNA (5.8S rRNA) is a component of the large subunit of the eukaryotic ribosome. It is transcribed by RNA polymerase I as part of the 45S precursor that also contains 18S and 28S rRNA. Lineage: Eukaryota; Fungi; Ascomycota; Dothideomycetes; Pleosporales; Cucurbitariaceae. The record is from RNAcentral.
AACUUAUAAUAGUUACAACUUUCAACAACGGAUCUCUUGGUUCUGGCAUCGAUGAAGAACGCAGCGAAAUGCGAAAAGUAGUGUGAAUUGCAGAAUUCAGUGAAUCAUCGAAUCUUUGAACGCACAUUGCGCCCCUUGGUAUUCCAUGGGGCAUGCCUGUUCGAGCGUCAUU